This 2927-nucleotide ribosomal RNA is filed under the name Klebsiella aerogenes. RNAcentral describes it as "23S ribosomal RNA". It matches the Rfam family "Bacterial large subunit ribosomal RNA". The record is from RNAcentral. Lineage: Bacteria; Pseudomonadati; Pseudomonadota; Gammaproteobacteria; Enterobacterales; Enterobacteriaceae.
GGGUUGUGAGGUUAAGCGACUAAGCGUACACGGUGGAUGCCCUGGCAGUCAGAGGCGAUGAAGGACGUGCUAAUCUGCGAAAAGCGUCGGUAAGGUGAUAUGAACCGUUACAGCCGGCGAUGUCCGAAUGGGGAAACCCAGUGUGAUUCGUCACACUAUCGUUAACUGAAUACAUAGGUUAACGAGGCGAACCGGGGGAACUGAAACAUCUAAGUACCCCGAGGAAAAGAAAUCAACCGAGAUUCCCCCAGUAGCGGCGAGCGAACGGGGAGCAGCCCAGAGUCUGAAUCAGCUUGUGUGUUAGUGGAACGGUCUGGAAAGUCCGACGGUACAGGGUGAUAGUCCCGUACACCAAAAUGCACAGGCUGUGAACUCGAAGAGUAGGGCGGGACACGUGGUAUCCUGUCUGAAUAUGGGGGGACCAUCCUCCAAGGCUAAAUACUCCUGACUGACCGAUAGUGAACCAGUACCGUGAGGGAAAGGCGAAAAGAACCCCGGCGAGGGGAGUGAAAAAGAACCUGAAACCGUGUACGUACAAGCAGUGGGAGCACCUUUAUGGUGUGACUGCGUACCUUUUGUAUAAUGGGUCAGCGACUUAUAUUCUGUAGCAAGGUUAACCGUAUAGGGGAGCCGCAGGGAAACCGAGUCUUAACUGGGCGUUAAGUUGCAGGGUAUAGACCCGAAACCCGGUGAUCUAGCCAUGGGCAGGUUGAAGGUUGGGUAACACUAACUGGAGGACCGAACCGACUAAUGUUGAAAAAUUAGCGGAUGACUUGUGGCUGGGGGUGAAAGGCCAAUCAAACCGGGAGAUAGCUGGUUCUCCCCGAAAGCUAUUUAGGUAGCGCCUCGUGAACUCAUCUUCGGGGGUAGAGCACUGUUUCGGCUAGGGGGUCAUCCCGACUUACCAACCCGAUGCAAACUACGAAUACCGAAGAAUGUUAUCACGGGAGACACACGGCGGGUGCUAACGUCCGUCGUGAAGAGGGAAACAACCCAGACCGCCAGCUAAGGUCCCAAAGUCACAGUUAAGUGGGAAACGAUGUGGGAAGGCACAGACAGCCAGGAUGUUGGCUUAGAAGCAGCCAUCAUUUAAAGAAAGCGUAAUAGCUCACUGGUCGAGUCGGCCUGCGCGGAAGAUGUAACGGGGCUAAACUGUGCACCGAAGCUGCGGCAGCGACACUAUGUGUUGUUGGGUAGGGGAGCGUUCUGUAAGCCUGCGAAGGUGGCCUGUGAGGGUUGCUGGAGGUAUCAGAAGUGCGAAUGCUGACAUAAGUAACGAUAAUGCGGGUGAAAAGCCCGCACGCCGGAAGACCAAGGGUUCCUGUCCAACGUUAAUCGGGGCAGGGUGAGUCGACCCCUAAGGCGAGGCCGAAAGGCGUAGUCGAUGGGAAACAGGUUAAUAUUCCUGUACUUGGUGUUACUGCGAAGGGGGGACGGAGAAGGCUAUGUUAGCCGGGCGACGGUUGUCCCGGUUUAAGCAUGUAGGCGGAGGUUCCAGGUAAAUCCGGUACCUUAUUAACGCUGAGGUGUGAUGACGAGGCACUACGGUGCUGAAGUAACAAAUGCCCUGCUUCCAGGAAAAGCCUCUAAGCAUCAGGUAACAUUAAAUCGUACCCCAAACCGACACAGGUGGUCAGGUAGAGAAUACCAAGGCGCUUGAGAGAACUCGGGUGAAGGAACUAGGCAAAAUGGUGCCGUAACUUCGGGAGAAGGCACGCUGAUAUGUAGGUGAAGUCCCUGCGGAUGGAGCUGAAAUCAGUCGAAGAUACCAGCUGGCUGCAACUGUUUAUUAAAAACACAGCACUGUGCAAACACGAAAGUGGACGUAUACGGUGUGACGCCUGCCCGGUGCCGGAAGGUUAAUUGAUGGGGUUAUCCGUAAGGAGAAGCUCUUGAUCGAAGCCCCGGUAAACGGCGGCCGUAACUAUAACGGUCCUAAGGUAGCGAAAUUCCUUGUCGGGUAAGUUCCGACCUGCACGAAUGGCGUAAUGAUGGCCAGGCUGUCUCCACCCGAGACUCAGUGAAAUUGAACUCGCUGUGAAGAUGCAGUGUACCCGCGGCAAGACGGAAAGACCCCGUGAACCUUUACUAUAGCUUGACACUGAACAUUGAGCCUUGAUGUGUAGGAUAGGUGGGAGGCUUUGAAGCGUGGACGCCAGUCUGCGUGGAGCCAACCUUGAAAUACCACCCUUUAAUGUUUGAUGUUCUAACGUUGGCCCCUAAUCGGGGUUGCGGACAGUGUCUGGUGGGUAGUUUGACUGGGGCGGUCUCCUCCCAAAGAGUAACGGAGGAGCACGAAGGUUAGCUAAUCCUGGUCGGACAUCAGGAGGUUAGUGCAAUGGCAUAAGCUAGCUUGACUGCGAGCGUGACGGCGCGAGCAGGUGCGAAAGCAGGUCAUAGUGAUCCGGUGGUUCUGAAUGGAAGGGCCAUCGCUCAACGGAUAAAAGGUACUCCGGGGAUAACAGGCUGAUACCGCCCAAGAGUUCAUAUCGACGGCGGUGUUUGGCACCUCGAUGUCGGCUCAUCACAUCCUGGGGCUGAAGUAGGUCCCAAGGGUAUGGCUGUUCGCCAUUUAAAGUGGUACGCGAGCUGGGUUUAGAACGUCGUGAGACAGUUCGGUCCCUAUCUGCCGUGGGCGCUGGAGAAUUGAGGGGGGCUGCUCCUAGUACGAGAGGACCGGAGUGGACGCAUCACUGGUGUUCGGGUUGUCAUGCCAAUGGCAUUGCCCGGUAGCUAAAUGCGGAAGAGAUAAGUGCUGAAAGCAUCUAAGCACGAAACUUGCCCCGAGAUGAGUUCUCCCUGAGACUUUAAGUCUCCUGAAGGAACGUUAAAGACGAUGACGUUGAUAGGUCGGGUGUGUAAGCGUAGCGAUACGUUGAGCUAACCGAUACUAAUGAACCGUGAGGCUUAACCUUACAACGCCGAAG